AGCGUAUAGAAGAUCUUUAUCUAUACUAUCUAUAAUAUAUAUAUAAAAGCGUAUAGAAAAAAUCUUACAAUGACAGAUGGAAUAAAAAUAAAAAUAAAAGAAUAUUCCCUACUUUUAUGAUCAAUUUGUUAGAAAAUAUUUCAAAUAAGAACGAACUGUUAUGAUCAAUUUGUUAAAAAAUAUCUUAAAUAAAAAUAAAUGAUUAUGAUCAAUCUAUUAAAAUAGCAUACAUAUACAUCUAUUUUACAUUAAAACUAACACUACAACAAAAACGGCCUAUAGCGACACUUUUAAAUAUAGAUACAUAUCAAAAAAGUGCUGCUAGCUAAAAUUACCGACACUUUUAAAAAGUGUUGCUAUAUGUAGGGUCGCUAGGUAUAUAGUAACAGUUAAAGAGUGUCGCUAUAACUUAAAAGAGUGCUGCUAAUUUACCAACACUUAUUUAAGCAUUUAGCAACCGCCGAAACUCUAUCUCGUUGGCUGCGGUGGCGGAGGAGGACGACAGGAAAGGCUCUUCGUCUAGAAUUUCAAUGGAUUGAGUGAAGAGAGAAGAAAAGAUGGCAAUUGAUUUUUCUUUUCUUUUUCUUUUCUAUUUGUAAUCG
Molecule: long non-coding RNA, 602 nt
Filed under: Ananas comosus (pineapple)
Lineage: Eukaryota; Viridiplantae; Streptophyta; Magnoliopsida; Poales; Bromeliaceae
Description: long non-coding RNA (ACOM_LNC040455)
Source: RNAcentral